CUGCGAUGUAGCCAAAUUGGUAAGGCAGUGGACUCUGAAUCCAUAAUGUUCCGGUUCGAGCCCGGACAUCGCAA
This 74-nucleotide transfer RNA is filed under the name Lactobacillus delbrueckii subsp. bulgaricus. Its description in RNAcentral is "tRNA-Gln". It matches the Rfam family "tRNA". Rfam says of the family: Transfer RNA (tRNA) molecules are approximately 80 nucleotides in length. Their secondary structure includes four short double-helical elements and three loops (D, anti-codon, and T loops). Lineage: Bacteria; Bacillati; Bacillota; Bacilli; Lactobacillales; Lactobacillaceae. The record is from RNAcentral.